CUCUCCAGCCUGCAGAAAGAGAAAUAUGCAAAUCUACCUGAAUAUGCACAUUCGCAAUCCUUGCUAUUCAGGUAGUGCAUAUAGCGGUUGCUAGAUCCUUGCAACCAAUAGGUGGCGCUCUACUGGUUCCACAGCCAAAUCCACCUAGUUGAUUGCAAAUUUUAGCAAUACAUGAGAGCACACUAACAUUUAACACUAAACAAUUACAUUAUAUACAUCCUGCACCCACAAUGAGUACAGGGUGACUUAAACAUGAG
Pelobates cultripes (western spadefoot toad) is the source of this 257-nucleotide non-coding RNA. The record is from the annotation of a GenBank genome assembly. Lineage: Eukaryota; Metazoa; Chordata; Amphibia; Anura; Pelobatidae.